RNAcentral lists this ribosomal RNA (465 nucleotides) under uncultured bacterium. RNAcentral's name for it is "partial 16S ribosomal RNA". It matches the Rfam family "Bacterial small subunit ribosomal RNA", at positions 28 to 507 of the family's 1533-position model. The record is from RNAcentral.
GACGAACGCUGGCGGCGUGCUUAACACAUGCAAGUCGAACGGAAAGGCCCUGCUUGCAGGGUACUCGAGUGGCGAACGGGUGAGUAACACGUGGGUGAUCUGCCCUGCACUUCGGGAUAAGCCUGGGAAACUGGGUCUAAUACCGGAUAGGAGCCAUUUUUAGUGUGAUGGUUGGAAAGUUUUUUCGGUGUAGGAUGAGCUCGCGGCCUAUCGGCUUGUUGGUGGGGUAAUGGCCUACCAAGGCGGCGACGGGUAGCCGGCCUGAGAGGGUGGACGGCCACAUUGGGACUGAGAUACGGCCCAGACUCCUACGGGAGGCAUCAGUGGGGAAUAUUGCACAAUGGGCGCAAGCCUGAUGCAGCGACGCCGCGUGGGGGAUGACGGCCUUCGGGUUGUAAACUCCUUUCGCUAGGGACGAAGCUUUUUGUGACGGUACCUAGAUAAGAAGCACCGGCUAACUACGUG